This is a long non-coding RNA of Denticeps clupeoides (denticle herring), 1676 nucleotides long. The record is from Ensembl. Lineage: Eukaryota; Metazoa; Chordata; Actinopteri; Clupeiformes; Denticipitidae.
AUGCCAGUCUCGCUGGACGGGCAGAAGGAGCCCAAACCUGCCCUGACUCCCACAGCCGCCAGUGAUGAUGAUGAAGACGAUGACUAUGAUGGUGACGAGGGGGAUGAGUACGGCAAUGAGGAUCCCCUACCUGAUCUGGAAAAAGAUGACAUGCAUGCUCGCAGGUCUGGAGUGCCGCCGAGGACAACAGGGAGUGCAGGACACAGUUUUAAAAUGUUCCUCCCUGUUCCUGGAUCAGUAAAAUAUAAAGCCACUCCCUCCUCUGGGCUGUGCCAGACGUACCCCAAACCCAGAGAGCAGGAGAAAGCACUUGCCAAGGACAGUUCAAAUGCUGUGGCCUUGCCCAAAGACGUCAUGCACACAGCCAGCAUGUGCUCCCAGGUGACAGACAGGGAGGAGGUGGGCUCUGUGGAGUAUGUUGAGCCUCUCAAAGAAGCUCAUACAUCCGAUGACCCAAAAUAUGACUUUGACCCUCCAACUCAAGAGAGGGGCACGUUCCCUCCUAGGAGACCCUCCUGGCUGGAGGAUGACCUCCCACCAAUAUUCUGCCCCAAAGCAGUGACUGAUGAGCCAGAGUAAGUCUCCUGUCUCGCUUGCUCUCUCUCUUGCUAUCUUUCUUUCUUUCAUGGCCUCCAGCUUUCAUUUCUUUCACGACCUUUGGCUUGUACUGGAUUGAUCUGCUGCAUGUUUUGCAAUCACUUUGUACACACAUCUUCUCUUUCCCAUUACUUGGGCUGACUGUACAGGAAUGCAUGUCAAAGACUAAAACCCUCAUUGCUGGCAUCUGCUGUGGUGGAUUUCUCAGUUUGCUCUGUGUGUGUGUUUGUGUGUGUGUGUGUGUGUGUGUGUGUGCAUGAUUGAUCUAAGCCUCGGCACCAGUAAAGCCAGCAAUAGUGGUGGAACAGCCACAGACCACAAAAUGAGAAAAUGUAGAGUAAAUAAAUAGAGUAUCUCUAACAGUGACCCAGGCUUGAGAAAAAUUUGGUGUUCUUUGCUGGACAGACCUAUCCUGCUUUGUAUUCCGAUGAGUUGGGCUACCAAAAGUGCCCUCCUAGGUGGAAUGGCCACUGUUUAUACCUCAUAUCUCCCUCUGUUAUUCUUCACCCUUCCCAGAUUUACAUUCCUGAGCUUCUAGCCGGUUGGGCUUGGGCUGUUGCCUGCUCACCGCAAGUGUUCUACUGGCUUGUAUGACCGGGUCAGUGUUGGUUUUGGACCCAACGGUACCUUGAAGUCAUUUGGACCAUAGAGAAGUUGAUACAUUAUAAUCUAAGAAGAGCAAUCUUGCACCGAGAUCAGUAUUAUUUUAAUCUUUCAUAACCUGUGAGAGGUUCUUUUAAAUAGUCACAGGGUCGCCUAUGGGGAAUCAACGUUCCUUGAAAUACCCUUGAGAUCCGCUCAGGAAGAGUACAUUUUUGCUCUGCUUUCUUUGUGGAUCUUCAGUGUUUGACACAUUUUUUUGUGAGUGUUUAAUUCCCACUGCCACAGCAUGCAAUAAUGCUUCACUUAUUAAACCCAUCCCUUAUUCUGGCUUUUGUUUUGGAGAGUUGUUCUUUUUUAUGAAAUGUUCUUCAUGUGCCAAAUUCUAACAUCACUUCACUUGCAGCAUACAUCUAAUAACACUGUUGGACAGGAAAUCCAGCAAGAUAACUUUGGCUUUGGCCAUACCUGAACACACG